GAUGAAGAACGCAGCGAAAUGCGAUAAGUAGUGUGAAUUGCAGAAUUCAGUGAAUCAUCGAAUCUUUGAACGCACAUUGCGCCCCUUGGUAUUCCAUGGGGCAUGCCAGUUCGAGCGUCAUUUGUACCUUCAAGCUUUGCUUGGUGUUGGGUGUUUGUCUCGCCUUUGCGUGUAGACUCGCCUUAAAAUAAUUGGCAGCCGGCGUAUUGAUUUCGGAGCGCAGUACAUCUCGCGCUUUGCACUCAUAACGACAGCGUCCAAAAGUACAUUUUACACUCUUGACCUCGGAUCAGGUAGGGAUACCCGCUGAACUUAAGCAUAUCAAUAAGCGGAGGA
This 336-nucleotide unclassified non-coding RNA is filed under the name soil metagenome. RNAcentral's name for it is "partial contains 5.8S ribosomal RNA, internal transcribed spacer 2, and large subunit ribosomal RNA". The stretch from base 1 to 120 matches the Rfam family "5.8S ribosomal RNA", at positions 35 to 154 of the family's 154-position model. The record is from RNAcentral.